RNAcentral lists this ribosomal RNA (311 nucleotides) under uncultured bacterium. RNAcentral's name for it is "bacterial SSU rRNA". It matches the Rfam family "Bacterial small subunit ribosomal RNA", at positions 30 to 334 of the family's 1533-position model. The record is from RNAcentral.
AUUGAACGCUGGCGGCAUGCCUAACACAUGCAAGUCGAACGGCAACGCGAGUAGGGUAACCUUACUUGGCGGCGAGUGGCGGACGGGUGAGUAAUAUGUAGGAAUCUACCUAGAGGUGCGGGACAACUUGGGGAAACUCAAGCUAAUACCACAUAAGCCCUACGGGGGAAAGCAGGGGAUCUUCGGACCUUGCGCCUUAUGAUGAGCCUACAUCGGAUUAGCUCGUUGGUGGGGUAAAGGCCUACCAAGGCGACGAUCCGUAGCUGGUCUGAGAGGAUGACCAGCCACACUGGGACUGAGACACGGCCCAG